CAGGAGGCGAGCAGGAACAACACCGUCUUAUUUGGUUUGGUCGGACCGGAAGCUGCUGUUUGCCUCUUCACUGUGUCAUCAGGCUGCAAGAAAACACUGCAGACUCAGGUUCAAGUAUAGUCCACAGGCACAGAGGUUUCAGGCUACUGAUGAAGUUUCUAACGGUCUGAUAUCCAAACCACAAGAAGCCUGUCUGAAGACUCAUCUUCAGCUCCUCACAGCCUCUCCAGAGUCCACACUUCAAAACAGUAGAGGGAGUGAGGAUAAUACUGCUGCAGGGAACGACUGCUUCUCGCACACAGGACCUGAAUGAAACAGAGAAAGGAACCAAACUGGAACUCCUGAAGAGUGCAGAUGCUUUUACAUUAACCAGGAAUCACUGGACGUCAGUGAUUCAUCAAAAUUUCUGGUGCAAAAAAACCAGGAGGUUAAUCUUAUAAGUUUCUUGUAAGUAACUGGUAAGAAUUGCUUUACGUUGUUCAU
Molecule: long non-coding RNA, 483 nt
Organism: Notolabrus celidotus (New Zealand spotty)
Lineage: Eukaryota; Metazoa; Chordata; Actinopteri; Labriformes; Labridae
Exons: 3
Source: RefSeq, a predicted model, not a curated record